Bison bison bison is the source of this 96-nucleotide microRNA precursor. Ensembl annotates it as microRNA 665. The record is from Ensembl. Lineage: Eukaryota; Metazoa; Chordata; Mammalia; Artiodactyla; Bovidae.
CCUGGAGGAGGGUCUCCUUGAGGGGUCUUGGCCUCUGCCCAGGACUCUUUCAUGACCAGUAGGCCGAGGCCCCUCACAGGCGGCUGCUUACUCUCC